GACGAACGCUGGCGGCGUGCUUAACACAUGCAAGUCGAGCGGUAAGGCCCUUUCGGGGGUACACGAGCGGCGAACGGGUGAGUAACACGUGGGUGACCUGCCUCUAGCUCUGGGAUAAGCCUGGGAAGCUGGGUCUAAUACCGGAUAUGACCUCGCGGUGCAUGUUGCGGGGUGGAAAGCCUUGUGCGGCUAGGGAUGGGCCCGCGGCCUAUCAGCUUGUUGGUGGGGUGANGGCCUACCAAGGCGACGACGGGUAGCCGGCCUGAGAGGGCGACCGGCCACACUGGGACUGAGACACGGCCCAGACUCCUACGGGAGGCAGCAGUGGGGAAUCUUGCGCAACGGGCGAAAGCCUGACGCAGCGACGCCGCGUGAGGGA
RNAcentral lists this ribosomal RNA (379 nucleotides) under uncultured bacterium. RNAcentral describes it as "bacterial SSU rRNA". It matches the Rfam family "Bacterial small subunit ribosomal RNA", at positions 28 to 408 of the family's 1533-position model. The record is from RNAcentral.